AGAGUUUGAUCAUGGCUCAGAACGAACGCUGGCGGCGCGUUUAAAGCAUGCAAGUCGAACGGUACCCGACCACAUAAUUCCGGAGUUAAGUCUCGAGUUAUGUUAAGCAUGAUUGCAGGAGUAUUGAUAUUCCUGGGAAUUAUGUGGCCGGGGAGAGUGGCGAACGGGUGAGUAACACGUAGGUAAUCUACCUCUGGAUGCGGGAUAGCCUUUAGAAAUAAGGGGUAAUACUGCAUAAAAUCUGAUUAUAAAUAUGGUUGGAUCAAAGGUGCAAUUGCACUGUCUGGAGAUGAGCCUGCGGUCCAUUAGCUUGUAGGUGGGGUAAAGGCCUACCUAGGCUGUGAUGGAUAGCCGGCCUGAGAGGGUGUACGGUCACACUGGGACUGAGACACGGCCCAGACUCCUACGGGAGGCAGCAGCUAAGAAUCUUCCGCAAUGGGCGCAAGCCUGACGGAGCGACGCCGCGUGAAUGAAGAAGGCCGAGAGGUUGUAAAGUUCUUUUCUUAGGGAAGAAUAAUUACAGGAGUGGAAAGCCUGUAUGAUGACGUUAACUAAGGAAUAAGUCCCGGCCAAUUACGUGCCAGCAGCCGCGGUAACACGUAAGGGGCGAGCGUUGUUCGGAAUUAUUGGGCGUAAAGGGCGUGUAGGCGGUUUUAUAAGCCUGGUGUAAAAGGUACUGGCUCAACCAGUAUUUUGCGCUGGGAACUGUAUGACUUGAGUUCAGGUGG
This 728-nucleotide ribosomal RNA is filed under the name uncultured bacterium. RNAcentral describes it as "bacterial SSU rRNA". It matches the Rfam family "Bacterial small subunit ribosomal RNA", at positions 8 to 655 of the family's 1533-position model. The record is from RNAcentral.